Molecule: transfer RNA, 66 nt
Filed under: Paragonimus ohirai
Lineage: Eukaryota; Metazoa; Platyhelminthes; Trematoda; Plagiorchiida; Troglotrematidae
Also listed under: 1 other name
Description: tRNA-Phe
Source: RNAcentral
CUCUCUUCUAGCUUAUUUGAAAGCAUUAGUUUGAAGAGCUGGGGAAAUAAUUAUUUAUGGGAGAGG